RNAcentral lists this ribosomal RNA (614 nucleotides) under uncultured bacterium. RNAcentral's name for it is "bacterial SSU rRNA". The stretch from base 1 to 524 matches the Rfam family "Bacterial small subunit ribosomal RNA", at positions 338 to 873 of the family's 1533-position model. The record is from RNAcentral.
CCUACGGGAGGCAGCAGUGGGGAAUAUUGGACAAUGGGCGAAAGCCUGAUCCAGCAACGCCGCGUGAGGGAUGACGGCCUUCGGGUUGUAAACCUCUUUCAGCGCAGACGAAGCGAAAGUGACGGUAUGCGCAGAAGAGGCACCGGCCAACUACGUGCCAGCAGCCGCGGUAAUACGUAGGGUGCGAGCGUUGUCCGGAAUUAUUGGGCGUAAAGGGCUCGUAGGCGGUUUGUUGCGUCGGGAGUGAAAACUCAGGGCUUAACCCUGAGCCUGCUUCCGAUACGGGCAGACUAGAGGUAUGCAGGGGAGAACGGAAUUCCUGGUGUAGCGGUGAAAUGCGCAGAUAUCAGGAGGAACACCGGUGGCGAAGGCGGUUCUCUGGGCAUUACCUGACGCUGAGGAGCGAAAGUGUGGGGAGCGAACAGGAUUAGAUACCCUGGUAGUCCACACCGUAAACGUUGGGCGCUAGGUGUGGGACUCAUUCCACGAGUUCCGUGCCGCAGCUACGACAUAAGACGCCCGCCGUCGGGAGGUACGGCCGCGACGGACGUAAACUAACAANAGAAGUUAGACGGCGUGAGACGUGCCGAACGGACGACGACGAGGGAGGUAGG